Molecule: ribosomal RNA, 263 nt
Filed under: uncultured Staphylococcus sp.
Lineage: Bacteria; Bacillati; Bacillota; Bacilli; Caryophanales; Staphylococcaceae
Description: partial 16S ribosomal RNA
Rfam family: Bacterial small subunit ribosomal RNA
Source: RNAcentral
CGGACGGGUGAGUAACACGUGGAUAACCUACCUAUAAGACUGGGAUAACUUCGGGAAACCGGAGCUAAUACCGGAUAAUAUAUUGAACCGCAUGGUUCAAUAGUGAAAGACGGUUUUGCUGUCACUUAUAGAUGGAUCCGCGCCGCAUUAGCCAGUUGGUAAGGUAACGGCUUACCAAGGCAGCGAUGCGUAGCCGACCUGAGAGGGUGAUCGGCCACACUGGAACUGAGACACGGUCCAGACUCCUACGGGAGGCAGCAGGG